RNAcentral lists this ribosomal RNA (460 nucleotides) under uncultured bacterium. Its description in RNAcentral is "partial 16S ribosomal RNA". It matches the Rfam family "Bacterial small subunit ribosomal RNA", at positions 338 to 795 of the family's 1533-position model. The record is from RNAcentral.
CCUACGGGUGGCAGCAGUGAGGAAUAUUGGUCAAUGGACGCAAGCCUGAACCAGCCAUGCCGCGUGCAGGAAGACGGCUCUAUGAGUUGUAAACUGCUUUUGUACGGGGGUAAACGCAGAUACGCGUAUCUGUCUGAAAGUAUCGUACGAAUAAGGAACGGCUAACUCCGUGCCAGCAGCCGCGGGAAUAAGGAGGAUUCAAGCGUUAACCGGCUUUAUUGGGUUUAAAGGGUGCGUAAGCGGUCGGAUAAGUUAGAGGUGAAAUCCCGAGGCUCAACUUCGGAAUUGCCUCUGAUACUGUUCGGCUAGAGAGUAGUUGCGGUAGGCGGAAUGUAUGGUGUAGCGGUGAAAUGCUUAGAGAUCAUACAGAACACCGAUUGCGAAGGCAGCUUACCAAGCUACUUCUGACGUUGAGGCACGAAAGCGUGGGGAGCAAACAGGAUUAGAUACCCCUGUAGUC